Non-coding RNA from Penaeus vannamei (Pacific white shrimp), 253 nucleotides. NCBI's taxonomy places the organism in Eukaryota, Metazoa, Arthropoda, Malacostraca, Decapoda, Penaeidae. The record is from RefSeq and is a predicted model, not a curated record.
CCUGCUACGACUUCUUCGACGGCAACUUCCCCUACUGCUACCACGACGACCAGUGUCCACCGGGCAAGAAAUGCUGCACAGACGGCUGCUCCCAAAGGAAAAUCUGUGUGCCCGUCUGAGUCAUGUCCCAGCGAGUGCAUGGCACAUGACACGAACUUUUCCUGUGGGUGUCACGAACUUUCUUCUGUUGGUUUAACAUCUCAUCUCUGAAAUGCACAGGUGUCAUUUGACCAAUAAAUUUAGAUCGGAAUUC